CAACGAUUUGUUAGGGGAAGAAUCAAUUUCUCAGGCGGUAUUGGUGGUGGACUGGUGAAUGGUACAGGUUUCAAGUUAUCUCGGUAGAUUCAAGGCUUGAGACCUUAUUGGGGAAACAGAACGAUUUUGCCAUCUAAGGUAGAAACGGAAUUACCGUGGAGUGCAGUCUGGAAAAAUGAAAUGAAGAAGAUGAAAGUGACUGGUAACUGCACAGACUUACCAUUAUUAGAAGGGAUUUCCCUUUUGGGGUUAAAGAGUCUUCACCCUGUGAGCCAUAUUUAACUCUUUAAGAAACUAAAGUAUAUAUGAUGACAUGAGGGGAAAUGCAGAGGGGAUAUUUUAUCAUGUCAUUCUGGAUACGAUCUUGGGUGGUUGCGAUUCUGAUUGUGAUCUGAUCUUCAAGG
Molecule: long non-coding RNA, 404 nt
Organism: Ipomoea nil (Japanese morning glory)
Lineage: Eukaryota; Viridiplantae; Streptophyta; Magnoliopsida; Solanales; Convolvulaceae
Exons: 2
Source: RefSeq, a predicted model, not a curated record